Molecule: ribosomal RNA, 468 nt
Filed under: uncultured bacterium
Lineage: Bacteria
Description: partial 16S ribosomal RNA
Rfam family: Bacterial small subunit ribosomal RNA
Source: RNAcentral
GACGAACGCUGGCGGCGUGCUUAACACAUGCAAGUCGAACGGAAAGGCCCUGCUUUUGUGGGGUGCUCGAGUGGCGAACGGGUGAGGAACACGUGAGUAACCUGCCCUUGACUUUGGGAUAACUUCAGGAAACUGGGGCUAAUACCGGAUAGGAGCUCCGGCUGCAUGGUGGGGGUUGGAAAGUUUCGGCGGUUGGGGCUGGACUCGCGGGUUAUCCGCUUGUUGGUGGGGUAGUGUCUUACCAAGGCUUUGACGGAUAGCCGGCCUGAGAGGGUGCCCGGCCACAUUGGCACUGAGAUGCGGCGCGGCAUCCUACGGGCGGCAGCAGUGGGAAAUAUUGCGCAAAGGGCCGAAGCCUGAUGCAGCGCCGCCGCGUGCGGGAUGACGGCCUUCGGGUUGUAAACCGCUUUCCCCUGAGACGAAGCGUGAGUGACGGUAAUGGGUAAAGAAGCACCGGCUAACUACGUG